UUGGUGGGGUANNGGGCUACCAGGCGACGAUCGGUAGCUGGUCUGAGAGGAUGACCAGCCACACUGGAACUGAGACACGGUCCAGACUCCUACGGGAGGCAGCAGUGGGGAAUAUUGGACAAUGGGGGCAACCCUGAUCCAGCAAUGCCGCGUGUGUGAAGAAGGCCUGAGGGUUGUAAAGCACUUUCAGUGGGGAGGAGGGUUGAUAGGUUAAGAGCUGAUUAACUGGACGUUACCCACAGAAGAAGCACCGGCUAACUCCGUGCCAGCAGCCGCGGUAAUACGGAGGGUGCAAGCGUUAAUCGGAAUUACUGGGCGUAAAGGGUGCGUAGGUGGUUGAUUAAGUUAUCUGUGAAAUUCCUGGGCUUAACCUGGGACGGUCAGAUAAUACUGGUUGACUCGAGUAUGGGAGAGGGUAGUGGAAUUUCCGGUGUAGCGGUGAAAUGCGUAGAGAUCGGAAGGAACACCAGUGGCGAAGGCGGCUACCUGGCCUAAUACUGACACUGAGGCGCGAAAGCGUGGGGAGCAAACAGGAUUAGAUACCCUGGUAGUCCACGCUGUAAACGAUGUCAACUAGCUGUUGGUUAUAUGAAAAUAAUUAAUGGCGCAGCACACGCGAUAAGUUGAUCGCCUGGGGAGUACGGACUCAAGAUUAAAACUCCCAGGAAUUGACGGGGGCCCGCACAAGCGGUGGAGGAUGUGGUUUUAUUCGAUGACACGCGAAUAACCUUACCUACCCUUGUACAACACCGAAUUUUGUAGAGAUGCAUUAAUGACUGUCGGGAACACUGAUACAAGUGCUGCAUGACUGUC
This 813-nucleotide ribosomal RNA is filed under the name uncultured Legionella sp. RNAcentral describes it as "bacterial SSU rRNA". It matches the Rfam family "Bacterial small subunit ribosomal RNA", at positions 249 to 1053 of the family's 1533-position model. The record is from RNAcentral. Lineage: Bacteria; Pseudomonadati; Pseudomonadota; Gammaproteobacteria; Legionellales; Legionellaceae.